Molecule: long non-coding RNA, 1624 nt
Filed under: Zostera marina
Lineage: Eukaryota; Viridiplantae; Streptophyta; Magnoliopsida; Alismatales; Zosteraceae
Description: long non-coding RNA (ZMAR_LNC002448)
Source: RNAcentral
CCCAUUCAUGAUUAACAAUAGUCAUACAAAUAAUAUAACAUGGAAUGUAAAUGUGGCCUAUAUAGCCUUAUUACGACAAUUGCAAUAAAAUAUAAACCCUAGGAUUAGUCUGUUCAUGUGUGAAACAGUCCCCAAAUCUCCCGUCAAGUUCCACGCAGUCCAUGAUUAAUCUGAAAUGAACAAAAGUGAGCACGUGGUGGUGUCCCCACCUGAUUUUGGCCAGACAUCAUCAAGUAUCAAUUUUGUUUCUUAAGAUAUUAAUGAUAAAUUAUAAAAAUACUGUUUUGUGCAUUGCAUGUUGAUUUAUUGCAAAAAUAAAUUCUAUAAUCUGUAGUUAUAUAUAGAUUUUGUGAUAGUUUUUUUUAAACUUAUUAUUUUUUCCAUUGAAAAACGGACAAUGCCAUGUGAUGGUGUAAGUGCUUAGCAAUUACUACUCCUUCCAAACAAUCACACACAACAUAAUAUUAGAACGAGAGAAUAAGAUACAAGUGGCAAAAAAGAUCUUUCCCCACACUCACUGGCCUGAUUAGUCCCAGGCCCAGCGUACCAUCACCAUGAUUACAUGGAGAAUAAGAAAUGUAGAAUAAAAUAAGUCAAAGGAAAUUAACUAAACGUUAGCUAUGUAAUCUAGUAAUUAGAAACGUUGUCGGUUGGUCUCUCAUACUUCCAUAAUUGAUGUCUUCUUCGGUCCAAAUGAGAAAUUGAUGUUCUUAAUUACCUCAUCAUGUGAUUGUUUUCUGCUGUUUUGACAUAAGUAUUUGUGUUUUAUUGAAUGAUGGCAUAUUUGUCACAUAUAUAAAUGCAAUAAUAGAAAUGAUCUUCUUUUACUUUUUUCAGUUUUUGUCUUGAUCACAGGUUCUGAAGUUUAACCUCACCGAAUCUGGAUUACUGUGUGUUUUGCCAUGGUUAACCAUGGCUAUAUUUGCAAAUAUAGGGGGGUGGAUUGCAGACACACUUAUUUCAAAAGGUCUUUCCAUAACUAAUGUUCGUAAGGUAAUUAUCAUACUUUUCAUAAAAAAAAGAAACUAACAAUUUUUUUAUAGCUAUUAUUUAUAAGAAGUAAUCAUAGGCUCAUAGCUAUAAAGUUGUGUUAUCUUUGUUUAAUUUCUGAAAUAAAACGAUCCUCUGUGAUUCCUUUAGGGUGCAUCAUAGGUAUAAAAUUCUACAGUAAAUUCUUAAUUUGUUAUGCAAUUUUUCAUAAUGCAGAUAAUGCAAACUAUUGGAUUCCUAGGACCAGCAUUCUUUCUUUCACAGUUGAGCAAUGUGCAUUCUCCUGCCCUGGCAGUUUUAUGUAUGUCUUGCAGCCAGGUUAGAACAAUACUCAUAGAUAACGCUCUUUGCAUUUUGGCAUGAAUUGAAUAGACAAUUAGAUAUUGUAUUUAAUGGUAUUUUUUCAUGCAAUUGUAAUAUUUCAUGGCAAUUCUGUAAGAAAACUGGUUCAACAUUUCAUUUGCAAGUUUUGUAUUUUUUCAGUAUUGCCACAACACCUUAUUGAAUUCUUGUCGUUAUUAUGGUUAUUGAUACGUUUUAUUUGUUAAUCAAAUGCUUACGUAGUAGUUGAUUAGUGAUGGUGUCGUGAAUCAUGAGUUACUCACUUGUAGACAAGGGAGUGGGAGUCUAUUGC